RNAcentral lists this ribosomal RNA (154 nucleotides) under uncultured Gammaproteobacteria bacterium. Its description in RNAcentral is "partial 16S ribosomal RNA". The record is from RNAcentral. Lineage: Bacteria; Pseudomonadati; Pseudomonadota; Gammaproteobacteria.
UGCGGGUAACGUCAAUACGACAAGGUUAUUAACACUUAUCGCCUUCCUCCCCGCUGAAAGUGCUUUACAACCCGAAGGCCUUCUUCACACACGCGGCAUGGCUGCAUCAGGCUUGCGCCCAUUGUGCAAUAUUCCCCACUGCUGCCUCCCGUAG